RNAcentral lists this unclassified non-coding RNA (521 nucleotides) under Hevea brasiliensis (rubber tree). Lineage: Eukaryota; Viridiplantae; Streptophyta; Magnoliopsida; Malpighiales; Euphorbiaceae. The record is from RNAcentral.
GCUGUCUUGACAUCACUUUUGCUUGGGGAAGAUCCUCCAUUAUACAAGCCAAAGUUAGCAGAUCACUAAGUAUUUAUACCCUGUAAGUAGAUUCAUUCUUGAAAUUAAUUAAUACAAGUGUGAUUGAUUUGCAUUGUCUUCAUAAACUUUUUGAGGUAUUUCAACUGUACUAGACAUAGAUAUUGAAACAUAAAAGGGAAAGGGGAGGAGAGAAGGAUAUCUUUAAGGCGGCGAGACUUGCUAUUACGGAUAUCAGCUUUCAUUCAAUAAUCUUGUCACAGAAUGAUUGACACCCCCCUCUCUUACCUACAUCUAAACUGAAAAUGAAGUCAAAGGGAUUGAGUCAUGUAGAUCUGUGUGCUGCUACAGAUUCAUCGAGUUGGAUGCACACUGCUGAAUAACUUUACUUGUUUUCAUCUAAGGUGCAUCGAUUGCAACAAAUAGAAAUCAAACUCCAGUGUGGAGACUGCUAGAAUAGUUUUGAUAUUUUUGUAUGUAUUCAAGAAGAAUUAAGACAGAUA